RNAcentral lists this ribosomal RNA (375 nucleotides) under uncultured eukaryote. RNAcentral's name for it is "partial 18S ribosomal RNA". It matches the Rfam family "Eukaryotic small subunit ribosomal RNA", at positions 592 to 976 of the family's 1831-position model. The record is from RNAcentral.
CAAUAGCGUAUAUUUAAGUUGUUGCAGUUAAAAAGCUCGUAGUUGGAUUUCGGUUAAGAGCGACCGGUCCGCCGUUUGGUGUGCACUGGUUGGUUUUAACUUCCUGUAGAGGACGUGCUCUGGGUUUAACGACCUGGACUCGGAGUCUACGUGGUUACUUUGAAAAAAUUAGAGUGUUCAAAGCGGGCUUACGCUUGAAUAUUUCAGCAUGGAAUAACACUAUAGGACUCCUGUCCUAUUUCGUUGGUCUCGGGACGGGAGUAAUGAUUAAGCGGAACAGUUGGGGGCAUUCGUAUUUCAUUGUCAGAGGUGAAAUUCUUGGAUUUAUGAAAGACGAACUUCUGCGAAAGCAUUUGCCAAGGAUGUUUNCAUUAA